Molecule: long non-coding RNA, 2391 nt
Organism: Meriones unguiculatus (Mongolian gerbil)
Lineage: Eukaryota; Metazoa; Chordata; Mammalia; Rodentia; Muridae
Source: Ensembl
UAAAAUGUUGAUUUAUAAUGACACAGGCCAGUAACAGCAAUCUAAUUCUUCCAAACUAUUUCUCCCCAGGUCCUGGCAAGAACAUGGCUCCAGCAAAGAAUGAUUCUCUUCCUUUAGAAUAUCCUGCCUUUAACACAUCUAUCCAUGCUGGUAUUCGAUACAAAAAUUGGAAACUCCUCACAGGCCACCCAGGUUGUGGUGCCUGGUUCCCACCUCCAACUCAGUCCAACAUUUCUGAGAUACUGUCAUUGGACCCAUCCACCAAGACUCUCUGGCUGUUUGAUAUCCAUCGGGAUCCUGAAGAAAGACAGGAUGUGUCCCAGGAGCACCCGCAUAUCGUCCGGAAGCUUCUUUCCCGCCUGCAGUACCACCACAAGCACUCAGUGCCUUCCUACUUCCCACCUUUGGACCCCCGCUGUGACCCCAAAGAUACUGGUGUGUGGAGCCCCUGGAUGUAGGGCUCCAGGAGGCUGGAGCUCAUUUCUGUGCAGGCUAGACCUCAGACCCCCCUACUCUGCCGGCUUCUCUUCUUUACCAUCCCCACCACUUCACCUGGCCCUCAUACUACAUUACCUACCCAAAAAGUCUAGUUUCAACCCAUAGUACAUUUUAGAAGCCAGUAAAAACCUGGAAGGAUCAUGCUCUUGGCUGGAGUUAGUGUCUGGGGCCAGGGUGGCUGCGUUCAUCCGGCUUCCUAAGCUGUAGUCGCUGGGAACUCGCGUCCUGCAGGCCAAGGCAGCUGGCUCUUUUUGCUUCACAAGUCAGCCAUUAGAACUCCCUUUGCUAAUAACCACUUUUAUUGGCAAGACAGAUGUCUUGUAACAAAGGCAGGGAGCAGAUGAUUGCUAGUGGUUCUGCUGGCUGUGAGGGCUCCCUGUCUAGGAGAUCUUGUUUAGGCUUUCUACAUCUGUGACCUGUCAGCUUACCCCUAACUCACUCAUCUUGCUGUGGAGCAUAAAACCUAUUGCAAUAAGCCAUCAUGGAGGGAUCCCAUGCCUUGGUUUUGGUUUCUACGAUAGUUACGUGUGUAAUUAUCCUACCGCCCCAACCACUAUUGCUCAUUCUGUCUAGACUUCUGCAAUGCCUCAGCUCGUGUGGCUCUAUUCCUGUCAUGCCUUUGGACUUCACUGCCCAGUACCUGAGGUCACUCUCCCCUCCCCUCCACCCAUUCUGAGCUUCAAGGUAGCCCCAAGCCCUGCCCACAGAAGGUGGACUGGUCAUUCCAUGGCCAUGCUCAUGGGAAUUGUCGGUCUGUGGCAUCUGCUAAGGAGGUUUAUUCUCAGUUGCAUGGAAGCUGUCAAAAUUGUGGCAAUAUUGUUCACUGUGCCAUGAUCUAUGCUACUUUCUCAAGCAGUGGAAAGAAAGGCCACUGUGCCCUGAGGUGAUGGAAGAAGCAGUUUGAGAAAGGAAGUGGCCAAUCACUGGUACGCUGGCCUUAGUAAAACUGAGGAGACAGCAACCAUGUUCCUCUCAUUAUCUGUUUUACUGACUUGUACUAGGGUUCUCAGGUUAAAGAAUGAGCACACACAAUCUGACCUUCAGCCCUUUCUCAGACCCUCUUCCAUCUUCCAUCCAUAUUAGCUGUGGGAAGUGUCAGACCCAGCCUGGGGCAAAACUGUGCUCCUCGUCAGCACCGCUGCCUUGCCUGUGGCUUCUGUUUCCUGGAUACUCUCCUUUGCCAACAAUCUCAAUUUCUAUUCUUCACUGAGCACUAGAAAUUAAAACCACCAAAUAACAUGAUAUAUGCCCUUAUGUACGGCCAUCUUCAGUUCAGUAGCAGUAUUUUCUGGUCAUUAAUAUUCUGUAUUUUAUUAUGAUAAGACUAUUAUAAGAAAAUGGUGCUAAAGAUAAUGACAUCUUCUACCCACUGGACUGGCAAACAGCUGGGGUGGCCAUCAGGCCCCCUCUUGUUCCAAAGCCUUUGGCAGCAUCUGAAUGACAUGAGUCUGGAUACUCCUUCCAAGCCCUGUAGCUAUAGUGCUCUGUCACUGAAGGUUACAACAUCAUAACACCUAUUUGAUCUUUCCUUAUUCUCUGAAGAGCUGUCCUCAAUUCUAACUUUGACUGUGGGCUAUAUUUGAAACAUUAACAUGCUAAUAGAUUUAAGAAGACUUUCAGAACGUAAUUUUUAAAAUGACUGGAGAUUUUGUCUGAUAAAACAAAUAGAAUGAAAUAUGUCUCAGAAUAUCUCUCAUUGGAUUUUCAUAUUUUAUAAAAACAGUAAAGACUGAUAGCCUAUCUUUAGGAAGAUUGAUGUUAGUCCUUUCCAAAUCUGUUUAAUCUUAAAGAAGCUUUUGUUUAUUGACUCGUGAGCUCAUUCCUUUGUUACCACAUGAUUGUUCCAGACUUGAGGGACAAAAUAAACUUAACCUUUCUAAAAUUGUGUGAGCC